GCUUUUUAAAAAAUUUUAGGUGGCACUAUGGAGUCAGUUUGGAACAUUUAUUGAAGAGAGCUAUGGAACUGGAAAGAAUACAUCACAUUGGAAGCGUGUGCCAAAUUUCAUGACUUUUUGACCUUUCCAAGCAUAUUAAAAAAUACUUUCUGAUUCAAGGAAAAUCGCAAUGCCACCAGGGUGCGCCAUUUAAUAAAGUCACAAUUUUUACACUAAGGCAGGGGUAGGCAACUCCAGGCCUCGAGUGCGGUUGUCCUGCAGGUUUUAGAUGUGUCCUUGAUCCAAUGCAGCUGAUUCAAAUUGCUAAAUUACCUACUUAACAUGUCUUGAAGUUCUCAAGAGGCCUGGUAAUGAACUAAUCAUUUGAUCCAAGUGUGUUGACCCAGGCUGAGAUCUAAAACCUGCAGGACAUCGGCCCUCGAGACCAGGAGUUGCUCACCCCUGCACUAAGGCAUCAUCAGUGUCUGAUGUUUAUUAUGAGCACUUUUGAGGUGAAAAUGAUCAACCUGGGAGAAGUACAAUAAGUACAUUUACAUAAUGAUUGAAACGAGCACCACUGCUGAACAACAGGAUGUGAGGCACUCUUCCCAGCUUUUCUAGGGGAAUACCAGAGUGUUCCCAAGCUAGCCAGGAGUUCAAGGCAUUAAUCCCGCCCCAAAACGUCCCAGAUCUUAAUCAGAACAAGAACCCACAGGAUGUGGCACAAGACCAAGGCCUCACCCUGCAACACAAAGGAUCUACAUCCAGGCUACCAACCAAAGGACACCUCAGAUGCUUUGUGUCUUGAUCAGUGCUUACAAAAUAGUAAUACUGGAUUUUUUUCAUGUUUUGGCAGUGUACAACCCUGCAUAUCUACUGUCUAAAUUGCCUAGAUACCUAGAUUGUCUUCCAAAUAACUGUAAGAAAAUUUGAUGUUAUUUAAUAUGUACCUUCUUAUUUGUAGUAUAAUGAGAUAGAAGAUCAGGUUAGUCUUCCUUAAACAGCAAUGAAAAACGGAAUGAUUAGCACACAUUAAAGACUAAAAAUGUGAAAUUGAAACAAUGUUUCUUUUUAAGUGGGGCCCAGUGGAGCCUGUAGAUGAUGCUUACACUCCAGGCACAUCUCUGCAAAGCAAAC
Molecule: long non-coding RNA, 1116 nt
Organism: Oreochromis aureus
Lineage: Eukaryota; Metazoa; Chordata; Actinopteri; Cichliformes; Cichlidae
Source: Ensembl